Molecule: ribosomal RNA, 499 nt
Filed under: uncultured Oscillibacter sp.
Lineage: Bacteria; Bacillati; Bacillota; Clostridia; Eubacteriales; Oscillospiraceae
Description: partial 16S ribosomal RNA
Source: RNAcentral
CACGUAGUUAGCCGUGGCUUAUUCAAGGGGUACCGUCUUCUGCUCUUCCCCCUUAAAAGAAGUUUACAACCCGAAAGCCCUCUUCCUUCACGCGGCGUUGCUGGGUCAGACUUGCGUCCAUUGCCCAAUAUUCCCCACUGCUGCCUCCCGUAGGAGUCUGGGCCGUAUCUCAGUCCCAAUGUGGCCGGCCAACCUCUCAGUCCGGCUACUGAUCGUCGCCUUGGUGGGCCGUUACCUCACCAACUAGCUAAUCAGACGCGAGGCUAUCUUCCAGCGAUAAAUCUUUGACAUCAGUGCCAUGCGACACCAAUGCGUCAUGCGGUAUUAGCAGUCGUUUCCAACUGUUGUCCCCCUCUGGAAGGCAGGUUCCUCACGCGUUACUCACCAGUCCGCCACUAAGCAUUCCCAUCCGUUGUCCGAAAACUCCUUCAAGGGUGCUCCGUUCGACUUGCAUGUGUUAAGCACGCCGCCAGCGUCGUCCUGAGCCAGGAUCAACUCU